RNAcentral lists this ribosomal RNA (253 nucleotides) under uncultured bacterium. RNAcentral's name for it is "partial 16S ribosomal RNA". It matches the Rfam family "Bacterial small subunit ribosomal RNA", at positions 524 to 776 of the family's 1533-position model. The record is from RNAcentral.
UACGUAGGGUGCGAGCGUUGUCCGGAAUUAUUGGGCGUAAAGAGCUCGUAGGCGGUUUGUCGCGUCGACUGUGAAAACCCGAGGCUUAACCUCGGGCCUGCAGUCGAUACGGGCAGGCUAGAGUUCGGUAGGGGAGACUGGAAUUCCUGGUGUAGCGGUGAAAUGCGCAGAUAUCAGGAGGAACACCGGUGGCGAAGGCGGGUCUCUGGGCCGUAACUGACGCUGAGGAGCGAAAGCGUGGGGAGCGAACAGG